Molecule: ribosomal RNA, 253 nt
Filed under: uncultured bacterium
Lineage: Bacteria
Description: partial 16S ribosomal RNA
Rfam family: Bacterial small subunit ribosomal RNA
Source: RNAcentral
UACGUAGGGUGCGAGCGUUGUCCGGAAUUAUUGGGCGUAAAGAGCUCGUAGGCGGCCUGUCGCGUCGGAUGUGAAAGCCCGGGGCUUAACCCCGGGUCUGCAUUCGAUACGGGCAGGCUGGAGUGUGGUAGGGGAGAUCGGAAUUCCUGGUGUAGCGGUGAAAUGCGCAGAUAUCAGGAAGAACACCCGUGGCGAAGGCGGCUCUCUGGGACGGUACUGACGCUGAGACGCGAAAGCGUGGGGAGCGAACAGG